This 288-nucleotide ribosomal RNA is filed under the name Solanum tuberosum (potato). RNAcentral describes it as "rRNA SSU_rRNA_eukarya". It matches the Rfam family "Eukaryotic large subunit ribosomal RNA", at positions 1225 to 1460 of the family's 3401-position model. The record is from RNAcentral. Lineage: Eukaryota; Viridiplantae; Streptophyta; Magnoliopsida; Solanales; Solanaceae.
AUGUAAGUAUAAACAAAUUCAUACUGUGCAACUACGAAUGGCUCAUUUAAUAAGUUAUACUUUGUUUGAUGGUAUCUACUACUCGGAUAACCAUAGUAAUUCUAGAGCUAAUAUGUGCAAAAAACCAGGACAUGUGGCCGAAAAUGGAUGGGCACUUAAGCGCGCGACGUACACUUAGCCGUCAGGGUAAGUGCCAGACCCCGAUGAGUUGGAGGGAAUGGCGGUAGCUACAAAACCUUGGGCAUAAGCCUGUGCGGAGCAGCCGUUAAGUGUAGAUCUUUGUGGGAG